RNAcentral lists this long non-coding RNA (203 nucleotides) under Helianthus annuus (common sunflower). RNAcentral's name for it is "hypothetical non coding rna". Lineage: Eukaryota; Viridiplantae; Streptophyta; Magnoliopsida; Asterales; Asteraceae. The record is from RNAcentral.
GUUUUCCAUGAAUCACCGAAAUUCUUUUGGUAUUCAUCUACCACCUAAACCAACAGUUAAUCAACUUGGUGAACAUAAUGAAAGCACUUGGUGAACAUAAAGAAACAAAGUUUAACAGGUCAAAUGUCAUUGAUGAAGGUUGGAUAAACUUAGUGACUUACUUGGUUUAACAGAGAAAAUGCACUUCGAACAGGAUAGUGGUC